CGUCAAGCGAUGGGGUGACGCAGGAAGGUAGCUGGGCCAGUCAGUGGUUGUACUGGUGUAAGAGUGUAGGCCGUGACAUAGGCAAAUCCGUGUCACAUUAAGGCUGAGACUUGAUGCAUACCCGUUGUGGGGAAUUCAGUGAUCCUAUGCUGCCGAGAAAAGCCUCUAGUAGUUCAUACACGGCCCGUACCCCAAACCGACACAGGUGAUCAGGUAGAGAAUACCAAGGCGAUCGAGAGAACUGUGGUUAAGGAACUCGGCAAAAUGCCCCCGUAACUUCGGGAGAAGGGGGACCAUGCCCGGUGAACAUCUUCACGGUGGGAGCUGGGUGUGGUCGCAGAGACCAGAGAGAAGCGACUGUUUACUAAAAACACAGGUCCGUGCGAAGACGUAAGUCGAUGUAUACGGACUGACGCCUGCCCGGUGCUGGAAGGUUAAGAGGACCGGUUAGCCGUAAGGCGAAGCUGAGAAUUUAAGCCCCAGUAAACGGCGGUGGUAACUAUAACCAUCCUAAGGUAGCGAAAUUCCUUGUCGGGUAAGUUCCGACCUGCACGAAUGGCGUAACGACUUCUCUGCUGUCUCGACCACAGACUCGGCGAAAUUGCACUACGAGUAAAGAUGCUCGUUACGCGCGGCAGGACGAAAAGACCCCGGGACCUUUACUAUAGCUUGGUAUUGGCGUUCGAUUCGGUUUGUGUAGGAUAGGUGGGAGACUGUGAAGCAUGCACGCCAGUGUGUGUGGAGUCGUUGUUGAAAUACCACUCUGAUCGUAUUGGACGUCUAACCUCGGCCCAUGAUCUGGGUUAGGGACAGUGCCUGGUGGGUAGUUUAACUGGGGCGGUUGCCUCCUAAAGAGUAACGGAGGCGCCCAAAGGUUCCCUCAGCCUGGAUGGCAAUCAGGUGUUGAGUGCAAGUGCACAAGGGAGCUUGACUGUUAGACUGACACGUCGAGCAGGGACGAAAGUCGGGACUAGUGAUCCGGCACCGGCAAGUGGAAGCGGUGUCGCUCAACGGAUAAAAGGUACCCCGGGGAUAACAGGCUGAUCUUCCCCAAGAGUCCAUAUCGACGGGAUGGUUUGGCACCUCGAUGUCGGCUCGUCGCAUCCUGGGGCUGGAGUAGGUCCCAAGGGUUGGGCUGUUCGCCCAUUAAAGCGGCACGCGAGCUGGGUUUAGAACGUCGUGAGACAGUUCGGUCUCUAUCCGCCGCGCGCGUAAGAAACUUGAGGAAGGCUGUCCCUAGUACGAGAGGACCGGGACGGACGAACCUCUGGUGUGCCAGUUGUUCCACCAGGAGCAUGGCUGGUUAGCUACGUUCGGAAGGGAUAACCGCUGAAAGCAUCUAAGCGGGAAGCCUGUUCCAAGAUGAGGUUUCUCACCACCUUGCGUGGUUAAGGCCCCCUACAGACCAUGGGGUUGAUAGGCCGGAACUGGAAGCGCAGCAAUGCGUGGAGGUGACCGGUACUAAUAGGCCGAGGGCUUACC
Molecule: ribosomal RNA, 1482 nt
Filed under: metagenome
Description: bacterial LSU rRNA
Rfam family: Bacterial large subunit ribosomal RNA
Source: RNAcentral